Molecule: ribosomal RNA, 1605 nt
Filed under: Pterocles namaqua (Namaqua sandgrouse)
Lineage: Eukaryota; Metazoa; Chordata; Aves; Pterocliformes; Pteroclidae
Description: 16S ribosomal RNA
Rfam family: Bacterial large subunit ribosomal RNA
Source: RNAcentral
AGCCCGACCCUAGCUCGGUCAACUUUCAUGACAAAAAUAACUAAAAACUCAUUAUACCUACACAACCAAAACAUUUCCUAAACCUAGUAUAGGCGAUAGAAAAGUGCUCCUCCGACGCGAUAGAAAUUUGUACCGUAAGGGAAAGAUGAAAUAAAAAUGAAAAAACAAAGCAAGAAAAAGCAAAGAUUAACCCUUGUACCUCUUGCAUCAUGAUUUAGUAAGAACAACCGAGCAAAAUGAAUUUUAGUUCGCCGCCCCGAAACCCAAGCGAGCUACCUGCAAGCAGCUAUUUCCUUGAGCAAACCCGUCUCUGUUGCAAAAGAGUGGGAUGACUUGCUGGUAGGGGUGAAAAGCCUAUCGAGCUGGGUGAUAGCUGGUUGCCUGUGAAACGAAUCUAAGUUCCGCCUUAAUCUCCUCCACACGGAUAUUCACCGUAACCUCCGAUGUAGUGAAUUAGGAGUAAUUUAAAGGAGGUACAGCUCCUUUAAAAAAGAACAUCCUCCUCUAGCGGAUAAGUACUCACCUCUUCCCCUCUUUGUAGGCCUUCAAGCAGCCACCAACAGAGAGUGCGUCAAAGCUCCAUACAAAAAAAUAUAAAAAUAGUACAACUCCCUUUCCCCUAACAGGCCAGCCUAUAACAAUAGAAGAAUCAAUACUAGAAUGAGUAACUAGGGAACCCCUCUCAAGCGUAAACUUACAUUUCCCCAUAAUCAUUAACAAACUUUAACUAGAUACUUCAACUACUCUAAAACUUAAAUAUCAAUUUAUUUUGUUAACCCAACCUAGGAGCGCCUAUUAGAAAGAUUAACAUCUGUAAAAGGAACUAGGCAAACUUAAGGCCCGACUGUUUACCAAAAACAUAGCCUUCAGCAAACCAAGUAUUGAAGGUGAUGCCUGCCCAGUGACAGUACGUUUAACGGCCGCGGUAUCCUAACCGUGCGAAGGUAGCGCAAUCAAUUGUCUCAUAAAUCGAGACAUGUAUGAAUGGCUAAACGAGGUCUUAACUGUCUCUUACAGAUAAUCAGUGAAAUUGAUCUUCCUGUGCAAAAGCAGGAAUAAGCACAUAAGACGAGAAGACCCUGUGGAACUUAAAAAUCAACGACCACAACACAAACCUAUUACCCCAUCACAAUGGCAUAUCCUACUUUAAUCGCUGGCCCGUAUUUUUCGGUUGGGGCGACCUUGGAGAAAAACAAAUCCUCCAAAAAUAAGACCUUCCUCUUAAUCAAGAGCAACCCCUCAACGUACUAACAGUAACCAGACCCAAUACAAUUGACUAAUGGACCAAGCUACCCCAGGGAUAACAGCGCAAUCCCCUCCAAGAGCCCCUAUCGACGAGGGGGUUUACGACCUCGAUGUUGGAUCAGGACAUCCUAAUGGUGCAGCCGCUAUUAAGGGUUCGUUUGUUCAACGAUUAACAGUCCUACGUGAUCUGAGUUCAGACCGGAGUAAUCCAGGUCGGUUUCUAUCUAUGAUGAACUUAUCCUAGUACGAAAGGACCGGAGAAGUGGGGCCCAUACUCCAAGCAUGCCCUACUUACAAGCAAUGAACCCAACUAAAUUGCUAAAAACACACCCACUCAUCCAUUUAUCCUAGAAAAGGAUA